GGGGCCGUAGCUCAGCUGGGAGAGCGCAGCAUUCGCAUUGCUGAGGCCAGGGGUUCGAUCCCCCUCGGCUCCACCA
RNAcentral lists this transfer RNA (76 nucleotides) under Nitrospinota bacterium. RNAcentral describes it as "tRNA-Ala". It matches the Rfam family "tRNA". From Rfam's summary of the family: Transfer RNA (tRNA) molecules are approximately 80 nucleotides in length. The record is from RNAcentral. Lineage: Bacteria; Pseudomonadati; Nitrospinota.